AAAAACAUUCUGUAAACUUUCUGGUCCAUGUGGGUACGGAUUAGAAAGGUACAGAUAUUACCACAGAAGCCACAAAAGACAUCAAGGACGGUGGUUGCUGGUUUGUGGUCUAAUAGCAAUCGGGGAAAUCUGUGCUAGUCGCAGCCGGUCGCAACCAUCCAGAGGUUCAAGUUUAGAUGAAGGUUUGUGGCCUAUUGGCCGCUAUUGAAUAUUCAAUGAACGGUGGACAUGUUGCGUGUGCUAGCUUGAAAUUAUGACUUUUCUUACGGGUAAUAUUACAAAGUUCGAUUAUUAAAUUGUCAUAGAAGAAGAACUUUCCUACAAACUAUUGUUUGUAGUAGUAUAGGCUAGCGUAAAGGUAAUCAUUUAAGCCUUUACCCUUGCUUGGUAUGAUAAAAUCAUGCCAUAUGUCGUGGUGAGAGGCAACCUUGGAAUGGCAAACACAAAAGUAUAUGGUUUGUCGUUGCACGAAGCAGAGCAGAUUAGUGCGAGACUUCGGCCUGGCCCCAAAAACACUAACAAGGAUGAACUGACAUUCUACAAUUCUGCAAUCUAUGUUAUGAAUCAGUUGGAGUACUUUUUUGGCUAUCGAGUGAUAACUUGUGCAAGCCAAGGGGAUUCAGGACAGCCAAUAUGGACUAUGACAAGGCCUUAUUAACAGUUUGCGGCGUGAAAUUACAGAAUUUGACACUUAAGACCAUUAUAUAGUGUACUUGCUUAUAAAUCCUAUGCUUUGAGUUUGUAAUGUAUUGCUCCAGAUGAAACUGAAUUUGGUGACCCAGGACAGUGAUAUAUUGAAUUCUCUCCUAACCUAAUGUGCAAAUGUUGAACUGGUCUGAAUAAAUUCUGUAUUUCAGCA
Molecule: long non-coding RNA, 859 nt
Organism: Cryptotermes secundus
Lineage: Eukaryota; Metazoa; Arthropoda; Insecta; Blattodea; Kalotermitidae
Exons: 2
Source: RefSeq, a predicted model, not a curated record